CCUACGGGGGGCAGCAGUGGGGAAUAUUGCACAAUGGGCGAAACCCUGAUGCAGCGACGCCGCGUGAGUGAAGAAGUUUUUAGGUACGUAAAGCCCUAUCAGCAGGGAAGAAAAUGACGGUACCUGACUAAGAAGCCCCGGCUAACUACGUGCCAGCAGCCGCGGUACUACGCAGGGGGCAAGCGUUAUCCGGAUUUACCGGGUGUAAAGGGAGCGUAGGCGGCAGCGUAAGUCUGUAGUGAAAUCCCAUGGAUUAACCAUGGAACUGCCUUGGAAACUGGGCAGCUAGAGUGCAGGAGAGGUAAGCGGAAUUCGUAGUGUAGCGGUGAAAUGCGUAGAUAUGAGGAGGAACACCAGUGGCGAAGGCGGCUUACUGGACUGUAACUGACGUUGAGGCUCGAAAGCGUGGGGAGCAAACAGGAUUAGAUACCCGUGUAGUC
Molecule: ribosomal RNA, 440 nt
Filed under: uncultured bacterium
Lineage: Bacteria
Description: partial 16S ribosomal RNA
Rfam family: Bacterial small subunit ribosomal RNA
Source: RNAcentral